AGUUAUCGUUUAUUUGAUAGUACCUUACUACUUGGAUAACCGUGGUAAUUCUAGAGCUAAUACAUGCAUAAAACCCCAACUUCGGGAGGGGUGUAUUUAUUAGAUAAAAAACCAAUGCCCUUCGGGGCUCUUUGGUGAUUCAUAAUAACUUCUCAGAUCGCAUGGCCCUGCGCCGGCGACGGUUCAUUCAAAUUUCUGCCCUAUCAACUUUCGAUGGUAAGGUAGUGGCUUACCAUGGUUUCAACGGGUAACGGGGAAUUAGGGUUCGAUUCCGGAGAGUGGGCCUGAGAAACGGCCCACACAUCCAAGGAAGGCAGCAGGCGCGCAAAUUACCCAAUUCUAAUACAGAGAGGUAGUGACAAUAAAUACUGAUACAGGGCUCUUUUGGGUCUUGUAAUUGGAAUGAGUACAAUUUAAACCUCUUAACGAGGAACAAUUGGAGGGCAAGUCUGGUGCCAGCAGCCGCGGUAAUUCCAGCUCCAAUAGCGUAUAUUAAAGUUGUUGCAGUUAAAAAGCUCGUAGUUGAACCUUUGGCCUGGCUGGCAGGUCCGCCUCACCGCGUGCACUUGUCCGGCCGGGCCUUUUCUUCUGGAGAACCGCAUGCCCUUUACUGGGUGUGUUGGGGACCAGGACUUUUACUUUGAAAAAAUUAGAGUGUUCAAAGCAGGCCUUUGCUCGAAUACGUUAGCAUGGAAUAAUGAAAUAGGACGUGCGGUCCUAUUUUGUUGGUUUCUAGGACCGCCGUAAUGAUUAAUAGGGACAGUCGGGGGCAUCAGUAUUCAAUUGUCAGAGGUGAAAUUCUUGGAUUUAUUGAAGACUAACUACUGCGAAAGCAUUUGCCAAGGAUGUUUUCAUUAAUCAGUGAACGAAAGUUAGGGGAUCGAAGACGAUCAGAUACCGUCGUAGUCUUAACCAUAAACUAUGCCGACUAGGGAUCGGGCGGUGUUUCUAUUGUGACCCGCUCGGCACCUUACGAGAAAUCAA
RNAcentral lists this ribosomal RNA (984 nucleotides) under Didymosphaeriaceae sp. Its description in RNAcentral is "SSU rRNA". It matches the Rfam family "Eukaryotic small subunit ribosomal RNA", at positions 108 to 1101 of the family's 1831-position model. Lineage: Eukaryota; Fungi; Ascomycota; Dothideomycetes; Pleosporales; Didymosphaeriaceae. The record is from RNAcentral.